This 73-nucleotide transfer RNA is filed under the name Parvimolge townsendi (Townsend's dwarf salamander). Its description in RNAcentral is "tRNA-Ser". It matches the Rfam family "tRNA". From Rfam's summary of the family: Transfer RNA (tRNA) molecules are approximately 80 nucleotides in length. Their secondary structure includes four short double-helical elements and three loops (D, anti-codon, and T loops). Lineage: Eukaryota; Metazoa; Chordata; Amphibia; Caudata; Plethodontidae. The record is from RNAcentral.
AAGGGGGUGGCAGAUUGGCUAUGCGAUUGACUUGAAAUCAAAAUAAGGGGGUUCAAUUCCCCCCUCUCUGGUA